CCUACGGGACGCAGCAGUGAGGAAUAUUGGUCAAUGGGCGGGAGCCUGAACCAGCCAAGUCGCGUGAGGGAUGACGGCCCUAUGGGUUGUAAACCUCUUUUGCCGGGGAGCAAAGUGCCGCACGUGUGCGGUUUGGAGAGUACCCGGAGAAAAAGCAUCGGCUAACUCCGUGCCAGCAGCCGCGGUAAUACGGAGGAUGCGAGCGUUAUCCGGAUUUAUUGGGUUUAAAGGGUGCGUAGGCGGACGCUUAAGUCGGCGGUAAAAUUGCGGGGCUCAACCUCGCUCCGCCGUUGAAACUGGCGUUU
Molecule: ribosomal RNA, 305 nt
Filed under: uncultured bacterium
Lineage: Bacteria
Description: bacterial SSU rRNA
Rfam family: Bacterial small subunit ribosomal RNA
Source: RNAcentral